AUGGGUAUUGAACACUGCAUAGGAGGUUUUAUGUCUCUCUGCAUCCUCAGAGGAGCCGAAAGACUCAUUCAAUAUUUGAAUAAUCUCCUUUGACUGUGCAUAUUCAAACUUAUGGCUAAGCUCAUCAUUCAUAGCUAUCCUUAACAUGCAAUGCAUAGUCGUGCAGUCAUUGAGUUAUUUCAUGUAAGUGUCUCUCAUAGCACG
This 204-nucleotide long non-coding RNA is filed under the name Elaeis guineensis (African oil palm). RNAcentral's name for it is "long non-coding RNA (EGUI_LNC077225)". Lineage: Eukaryota; Viridiplantae; Streptophyta; Magnoliopsida; Arecales; Arecaceae. The record is from RNAcentral.